CGGGAUAUGGCGCAGCCUGGUAGCGCGCACCCUUGGGGUGGGUGAGGUCGUGGGUUCAAAUCCCGCUAUUCCGA
RNAcentral lists this transfer RNA (74 nucleotides) under Desulfuribacillus alkaliarsenatis. RNAcentral describes it as "low GC Gram-positive bacterium strain AHT28 tRNA". It matches the Rfam family "tRNA". From Rfam's summary of the family: Transfer RNA (tRNA) molecules are approximately 80 nucleotides in length. Their secondary structure includes four short double-helical elements and three loops (D, anti-codon, and T loops). Lineage: Bacteria; Bacillati; Bacillota; Desulfuribacillia; Desulfuribacillales; Desulfuribacillaceae. The record is from Rfam by way of RNAcentral.